AAACCAAAAAGCCUCAUUCACUGUCUCGAAACAGAUAGUUCCUAAGUAUAAUUCGUUUGCUUUACCAGGUCAGGUUUAAGAUAUAGUAGUAGUGAUAUAUUAUUGUGUUGGUAGCCUGUAAGCAUGGUGAGGGUGAAGUAAUCGGCCAGCCAUAAAUUGGAGAUAGAACAAUUAUUUAAUUUCAUUCUAUGCACAAAGAACCUUUAUAAUUUCAAACAUAAAACUUGAAAGGAAAAUAAUCCCACUCUCCUCUCUUUUAACACAAUGCACAUUAAACUUAAUGAAAAGAAGUUUUUCAUUUUGAAAAGAGAAUCAUUUGAGAAAUGAGAAUGUCAUAAGAAAAGAAAAUGAAAAUUGGAAUCUAAACUCCAAUGAAUGUCUUCUCUGGUUGACUCAAUGUCAUUCAUUGAAUAAUCUUUGUGAAAGCCAAUUUUCCUUGAAAUAAAUUGUGAGAUCAUAGUCUGGGAACAAAGAAGAAAUGAAAAGUGGGGAAGAUGUACAACAAUUACCACUCCCUAGUUUUCCCAACUGCUAUGUUCACAGUGGUUAGCAAACUACUACAAAGAAAGGAAAACCAUGACACAGGCAACACUUUACAGCCUCUCUUUGGCAUAUCUGAAUUGCCAGUAUCACUACUCUUGCACCUUGGGUCCAUUAUUAAGUAAAGUAAGGAUUACUGGAACACAAGCACUGCGAUACCAGGACAGUCAUCUGACAACCGAGAUUCCUACUAACGGGCAGGUAGCAUACACAGUGUGGAUACAGACAAACGGAUGAUUCACGUCCCAGGAGGGACGGAGCAAGACAGCACAAGAUUUCAUCAUGCUACUCAGAAUGGCACUUAAUUUAAAAUUUAUGAAUUGUUUAUUUCUGUAAUUUUCCACUUAAUAUUUUCUGACCACGGUUGACCACAGGUACUGAAGCAACGGAAAGCAAAGCUGCCAGUAAGGGGGCACUCCUGUAUUGUGGAUUUCAGAAAAAGAAUUAAAUUUUAAAUUAUUAUUUUUAAGGACAUUUUUGUUUGUUUUGUUCUAUUUAUUAAAUAUUGUUAAA
Diceros bicornis minor is the source of this 1053-nucleotide long non-coding RNA. RefSeq lists it as uncharacterized. The transcript is spliced from 3 exons. Lineage: Eukaryota; Metazoa; Chordata; Mammalia; Perissodactyla; Rhinocerotidae. The record is from RefSeq and is a predicted model, not a curated record.